UACGUAGGGCGCAAGCGUUGUCCGGAAUUAUUGGGCGUAAAGAGCUCGUAGGCGGUCUGUCGCGUCGGAUGUGAAAGCCCGGGGCUUAACCCCGGGUCUGCAUUCGAUACGGGCAGACUAGAGUGUGGUAGGGGAGAUCGGAAUUCCUGGUGUAGCGGUGAAAUGCGCAGAUACCAGGAGGAACACCGGUGGCGAAGGCGGAUCUCUGGGCCAUUACUGACGCUCAUGCACGAAAGCGUGGGGAGCAAACAGG
This 253-nucleotide ribosomal RNA is filed under the name uncultured bacterium. RNAcentral describes it as "partial 16S ribosomal RNA". It matches the Rfam family "Bacterial small subunit ribosomal RNA", at positions 524 to 776 of the family's 1533-position model. The record is from RNAcentral.